RNAcentral lists this long non-coding RNA (1797 nucleotides) under Nicotiana tabacum (common tobacco). RNAcentral describes it as "long non-coding RNA (NTAB_LNC015702)". Lineage: Eukaryota; Viridiplantae; Streptophyta; Magnoliopsida; Solanales; Solanaceae. The record is from RNAcentral.
GUUAACAUACUACAUGAAGGUAGUAUAUUAGCACCCUACCCAUUUUUUAUUUUACAUAAAUGUCUCUGCCACCUCAAUAAGUGGGGGUAGUCUGUUCACCCAAAUUCUCUCAAUUCACUUAAUGCCCUAAAAAUUAUAUUUUCAAGACCCUCCCGCUAAAUCGCGCCAUUUAAUGUACAUAAUCGGCGGAAAAAAAAGGACCAAGCAACCAUUGCUCUUCUAUGAAAUUACAAGGUUAUUUCUUAAGUUUUCUCUUCUUCCAGCAUUGACUAGUGCAUAAUGGAGGUAAGCAUAUAGUAUUUUAAUACUUUUUCAUUUGUUGAUCAAAUUUUAGGGUUAAAAGCAUUUUUUUACUUUUGAAACAGAGGUGUCCAACGAUUAAAGAAUAUUUAGUUUAUAUUUGCUUUGUGCCUUUAGAUUUGCUUCUUGAUUUUUGAUUUAUAACACAAAUUUACAGUUUCAAUGAACUGAUUCUAUAGUUGGAUUACUUAGUGUUUUGACAAAAUUAUUUCUUUUGAUGGAAUUAAAAAAUAUAGGUUUUUAACAAUACCAGUGAUUUGACAAUAGGAGUUUCAAGAAAAUGUUGCCCAUGUGGUAAUAUUGGGUGCUUUAUUAAUGGAGAUACAAUUGUAGGAACUACUACAACUUCAAAUGAGGAACUUAGAAAAGAGAAUAUUAUUGAUAUUAGCGAUGGUGAUUUGCAAAUAGGAAAAGUGUUUGAUAGUUAUGAUGAAGCUUACAAUUAAUAUAUGAAUUUUGCUAAAAGUUUUGGUUUUUCAGUUAGACGUGAUCGCCAUUUAGGAAUUGUAGAACAUCCUAUGGGAAUUUAUAAAAAGGAUUAUGUUUGUCAUUGAGCUGGUAGCCCUCGUCCUUAAAAGGUAGUUGAAAAAUAACGACAAAGAAAUUGAAAAUCUUCCAGAUGUAACUGUAAAGCCAAGAUGUCCAUCGCCAAAGAUAUAUUUGAUGGCAUCACUCGUUGGACAGUGGUGUAUUUUGAUAAUGUUCACAAUCAUGAACUUUUGAGUGAUAAAGAGGUAUGAUUUUUCCCCGCUUAUCGAAAUAUUGACAUUGUUGAUCAAACACGAAUUACACUCCUUGCUAAAGUUGGUUGUUCAAUAAAUUUAAUCAGAAGAGUGAUUGAAUUAGAAAAGGGAGUAGAUCUAGGCCAAUUGCCUUUUAUAGAAAAAGAUAUAAGAAACUUUGUUCAAUCAGAAAGUUCUACUAAUAUUGAAAGUGAUGCCCUGGAGCUAUUGAAAAUAUGCUAGAGCUUAAAAGACAAAGAUGUUGAUUUCCAAUAUGAUUUCAUUGUUGAUGGAUGUCAAAGACUCGAACAUGUCAUCUGGGCAUUCAGAGACUCUAUUCGUGCUUAUGAAGUUUUUGGAGAUGUAGUCGUCUUUAACACUACUUAUCGAUUGAAUUGUUAUGAAAUGUCGUUAGGAGUUUGGAUAUCCAAUCUCUUGUUACACAAAGAUACUCAUAAUGCAUACAAACUGAAAUAAAAAAUUUACUUUGGUUGCAGGAUUCUAAAAGUAUGGACAAAGAAGCUCUAAGGUGAUCCAACUGUGAAAAAGUCAUUUUGCUUACAAGAAUCAACCAUUGCACAUCAUAGUUUGUUGAUCUCAAGUUGAAUUGAGUAGAGAUCAAAAAUUACAAGAAAUCAUUUUCUGUUUAUGAACAAGAAAUCAGAUGUUGUACUAUUUAUGAACAAGAAAUCAGCUGUUGCACGUCAUUUUUUUGAAUAGCGACAUCUUUUAUUUCAUGUAAAUUUUGUUUUAGAUGAGUACAAGAGGAGGGGCU